Molecule: long non-coding RNA, 4728 nt
Filed under: Capsicum annuum
Lineage: Eukaryota; Viridiplantae; Streptophyta; Magnoliopsida; Solanales; Solanaceae
Description: long non-coding RNA (CANN_LNC003321)
Source: RNAcentral
AGAAUAACAAGGAAACUGAGGAAGAAGAAAAGGGAAAAGAAAAUGGUUAUUUUUUUCCUUUGACCUUUUCAGUUUUCCUUUUAUCUUCUCUCCUUUUUUCCAAAAAAAUAAUGGAAUCAGACGGUGGUGGCGGUGGUGGAGUAGUUCCUAUACCUUCCCACACCGGUUUAUCUCCGCCGCAUGACGAUGAUCAUCCUGAUUUUUCACCGGUUGGAUCGCCGGAGUCUCAGCCGUCUGAUCAACUCUCCGCUACUCUACUCACCGAUGAUCUUCGUAACAACAUCGUCAAGCAGGUUCCUUUUUUUGUUUUUUGUCGUGUGGGUUUUGUUUGAUUGUGUUUUUGGUUAAUGGGGUUUUUCGUUCUUGGUGAUUUAUUGAGUUUUAGGGUUUAAGCUAAGGAGUUCAAGGUUUUUGAGUGAAGUUUAGUUAGUGGUGUGCAAUUGGAUUGGAUGGGCAGUGUGCUUUUGAAAUUUCUGAAGAAUUUUGCCUAUUGUAGAUAGUGAAAAUUUUCAGUUGGAUUGAUGUGGUAGUUUCUGUAUGUGGAUUGGGUGCAAUUGUAGUAGUUGCUCAGGUGUUCUGUUAAGUUAAGGUUCUUGAUUAGCUGAUUAAUAUUUUAUAGUUAGACACUUUUGCUAUAUAUGGUAGAAAAUGUGGAGGUAUAAUAAAUGGGAAUUGCUUCAUAUGUUUUAAGACUUUUCCAUUUGAUUGUGGUAGACAAAAUCGGUUUUUUAUUUUGUUUCUUUAACAUUGGAUGUCCCUAUCGAGUUCUUCCUAUGGUUCUUAACAAUAUGAGAUGUCCCUUUCGAGUUCUUCCUGUGGUUCUUAAUUAUAUGAAUAGAACUUGAGAAAAAGAUUGAAAUUUUCUAACUUGUUUGGGAUAGUAUAGGUUUGUUCAUUUAUUGCAGUGGUUCUUGCAAAGAAACUUUAGUGAUAGCCUUGAAAAGAUCUUCUGCAUCUAUCAGAAUGGCAAAUGCAUUAUUUUCACUGUCUUGCAGAUACCUUUCCUUAAGUGAAGUUGUACAGAGUACAGACUUAGUUAAUGAGCAUUUGUUUCGCACAUACAUCGGUAUCCUCGUAACACCAAUUUGCUAUGUACAACCUUCAGAUAUUAGAGUUUACCUUCGAGAACUCUAGAGUUUUACUAGUCCUUGGUAGCUGUAGAUUUGCUGCUCUUAGUGUCUAAAUACAACAGAAAACUCCAGCAGAAUCCUUGGCAGCUGGAUUUGAAUUCUAAUCUCAACACUUCUCUUGUUUCUGCCUCUGUCCUAUCUUGCUUAGCAAUUCUCAGUUUCUUCCCAGCAAUGUCUGCUUGUUUUAAAAAAUAUUGUGAUAAAAUUCUCUCAUGGAUUGCUCUAUUAGUAUGCUUCCUGGGUAGCUAUUUAGAGCAAACAAUAUGGUAGACUCUUUAGAAUUUCUACCAAGCACCACAAAUGGGUUUGGUGAUGUUGGAAUUCCUCCUCUUUCGGUAGGUCCCAGGUUCGACCUUGAAAGAGAACAGUCAGCCCUUUAAGCAAAAGGGCACUUUCCUACUAAAAGAUAAACUUUGAAGGACUAAUCACAGCCCAAAAAGACGACUACCUUGGGGAAAAAUACAAAACAGAUUCACAUGCGCACCAGAGCUAUUCCGGAAGAAGAAGUCAAUUAGAAUCCCAAUACUAAUCGCAGCCCAAAAAGACGACUACCUUGGGGAAAAAUACAAAACAGAUUCACAUGCGCACCAAAGCUAUUCCGGAAGAAGAAGUCAAUUAGAAUCCCGAUACUUUAAAUCGAAAACCACUAACUAACACCAUGCAUCAAAAUUUCUAUUAUUGAACUAUUGAUCAUAACAUUUCCAAGACAUAAUCUAAAAAUACAGAGAGAGAAAUAUCAAUCAAGAGAACUCUCACUUUGGAAGGGUAUUUUCCUGCAUAAAGGUGUAUCACCUUAAUAAGUAAAAGUAUACAUUAACAUUAUCCCUUGAGGAUGGGUCCGAGUUAAUCACCUUCCAAGCUCACAACUGCUUGGAAUUCCUUCUCUGCCUCCACAUACCUAGCUCCAACCACGAUGAAGCGCACCACGGUGCCUUUCUCUAUUAUUGGCAUCUUCUCAUUCAUAAAUAAAGGAUUUUCUUCAGGCACAUACUUAUAAUCCACCAUCUUUUGAUGAGAGAGGAAUAUCUUGUCGGUUGGGCCACACCUCAAAAAGAUACCUUGCUUCAAGAUCUUGUGAACAACCCCUUCCAAGGUCUCUCCGCGGAGUAUCUUGAAGGUUACACAGCUGAAUUCUACAGAGAAAAGCACAGCACCAGUGUUUUUUCGAACUAUCCCCUCCCCAAUCUUCUCCAAUGUAGUUACAUACAUAAAGUACUCAAGAUCUUUUGACGCCUUCUUGAAAGUAAAGUCUUGCAAGAGGCGAAUAACAAUUGCCUUCUUAAGCAGUAAACCUUCAAUCUCUAGUUUCUCAGCAGGGAUAGGGAUAAUCACAUUCCAUGACAACUGAUGUGUUGAAUACAUUUUAAAUGACCUGCCACAGCCUACUGUCAUUUGAUUUUGUGACAGGUCAUUUAAAAUGUAUUCAACACAUUAGUUGUCAUGGAAUGUGGGAUUGAUUAUCCCUGCUGAGAAACUUGAGGUUGAAGGUUUACUGCUCAGAAGGCAAUUGUUAUUCGCCUCUUGCAAGUCUUUGCUUUCAAGAAGGCAUCCAAAGAUCUUGGUUACUUUAUGUAUGUAGCUACAUUGGAGAAGAUUGGGGAGGGUAUAGUUCGAAAACACACUGGUGAUGUGCUUUUACCUGUAGAAUUCAGUUGUGUAACCUCCAAGAUACUCCGUGGAGAGACAUUGGAAGGGGUUGUUCACACGAUCUUGAAGCAAGGUGUAUUUUUGAGGUGUGGCCCCACCGACAAGGUAUUCCUCUCUCAUCGGAAGAUGGUGGAUUAUAAUUAUGUGCCUGGAGAAAAUCCUAUCUUUAUGAAUGAGAAGAUGUCAAUAAUUGAGAAAGGCACCAUAUGGUGCGCUUCAUCAUGGUUGGAGCAAGGUAUGUGGAUGCAUUGAAGGAAUUCCAAGCAGUUGUGAGCUUGGAAGGUGAUCACCUCGGAUCCAUCUCAUAAAGUUCUAUUUAGGUUAUUCACCCUCAAGUGAUUAUGUUAAUGUUUUAAGGUGCAACAUGUCUUCGCAGAUACUUUCACUUAUUAAGGUGAUAACCCUUUAUGCAGAAUACCCUUCCAAAGUGAAGAGUUCUCUUGACCGAUAUUUCUCUCUCUGUAUUUUUAGAUUAUGUAUUAGAAAUGUUAUGAUCAGUAGCUCAAUGUUAAUAUCUUAAAUUUAUUAUAUAAGAAUGAUUAAAAGCUGAACUAAAUUGACUGAAAAGGACUCAAAAUAAAAUUUUCUUUUUUUGACUAAAUAGUUUCACUUUGAGUAACCAAACUGAACAAAAAAAAUAAAUAAUAAUUUCUUCUCAAUUGAACUUUCCUAUACAUAGUUGGGUAUUUCCAGAAAAGUAUUUUCAAGAGAUCAGAAGAAUAACAAGGAAACUGAGGAAGAAGAAAGGGAAAAAAAAAAUAAUGGUUAUUUUUUUCCUUUGACCUUUUCAGUUUUCCUUUUAUCUUCUCUCCUUUUUUCCAAAAAAAUAAUAAUGGUAUCAGACGGUGGUGGCGAUGGUGGAGUAGUUCCUAUACCUUCCCACGCCGGUUUAUGUCCGCCUCAUGAUGAUGAUCAUCCUGAUUUUUCACCGGUUGGAUCGCCGGAGUCUCAGCCGUCUGAUCAACUCACCGCUACUGUACUCACCGAUGAUCUUCGUAAUAAGAUCGUGAAGCAGGUUCCUUUUUUUGUUUUUUGUCGUGUGGGUUUUGUUUGAUUGUGUUUUUAGUUAAUGGGGUUUUUUGUUCUUGGUGAUUUAUUGAGUUUUAGGGUUUAAGCUAAAGAGUUCAAGGUUUUUGAGUGAAGUUUAGUUAGUGGUGUGCAAUUGGAUUGGAUGUGCAGUAUGCUUUUGAAAUUUCUGAAGAAUUUUGCCUAUUGUAGAUAGUGAAAAUUUUCAAUUGGAUUGAUGUGGUAGUUUCUGUAUGUGGAUUGGGUGCAAUUUUAGUAGUUGCUCAGGUGUUUUGUUAAGUUAGGGUUCUUGAUUAGCUGAUUAAUAUUUUAAAGUUAGACAGGUAGAAAGUGUGGAGGUAUAAUAAAUGGGAAUUGCUUCAUAUGUUUUAAGACCUCCCCAUUUGAUUGUGGUAGACAAAAUCGGUUUUUUAUUUUGUUUCUUUAACAUUGGAUGUCCCUAUCGAGUUCUUCCUAUGGUUCUUAGCUAUAUGAGAUGUCCCUUUCGAGUUCUUCCCGUGGUUCUUAAUUAUAUGAAUAGAACUUGAGAAAAAGAUUGAAAUUUUCUAACUUGUUUGGGAUAGUAUAGGUUUGUUCAUUUAUUGUAGUAGUUCUUGCAAAGAAACUUUAAUUAUAGCCUUGAAAAGAUCUUCUGCAUCUAUCAGAAUGGCAAAUGCAUGAUUUUCACUGUCUUGCAGAUACCUUUCCUUAAGUAAGUUGUACAGAGUACAGACUUAGUUAAUGAGCAUUUGUUUCGCACAUAUAUACAUCGGUAUCCUCAUAACACCAAUUUGGUACGUACAACCUUCAGAUAUUAGAGUUUAGCUUCGAGAACUCUAGACUUUUACUAGUCCUUGGUAGCUGUAGAUUUGCUGCUCGUAGUGUCUAAAUACAACAUCAACAACAUAACGAGUGAGAUCCCACAAGUGGGUUUUGGGGGUGGGGG